GCAAGUCGAACGGUGUCUUCGGACAUAGUGGCGCACGGGUGCGUAACACGUAUGCAACCUACCUUACAUUGGGGGAUAGCCUUUCGAAAGGGAGAUUAAUACCGCAUAAGACAGUAACUUGGCAUCAAGUAGCUGUUAAAGAUUUAUCGAUGUAAGCUGGGCAUGCGUCCAAUUAGCUAGUUGGUGAGGUAAUGGCUCACCAAGGCUAUGAUUGGUAGGGGAACUGAGAGGUCAAUC
Molecule: ribosomal RNA, 237 nt
Filed under: uncultured bacterium
Lineage: Bacteria
Description: partial 16S ribosomal RNA
Rfam family: Bacterial small subunit ribosomal RNA
Source: RNAcentral